Non-coding RNA from Thunnus maccoyii (southern bluefin tuna), 294 nucleotides. RefSeq annotates it as small Cajal body-specific RNA 6. NCBI's taxonomy places the organism in Eukaryota, Metazoa, Chordata, Actinopteri, Scombriformes, Scombridae. The transcript has a single exon. The record is from RefSeq and is a predicted model, not a curated record.
GGUCAAUGAUGAGAAGUAAAAGGUCUGAUUACCCACAAUCCUCUCCCAGCUGCCCUCUGGCUCCCAGCAGCCCCCUGCUCUCUGCUCCCAUCAUGCUCUAGCAGUGCAGUGCUGGUCGUAGGAGCUGCUGACAGACAGACAGGAUGUGACAUCACAGCUCUGAGUCUGUACACAGAUCCUACAGGCUCGGUGUGAUGAUGAUGACGGACAUCCAACACAACCAAUCAGAGCGGAGCGUCGGGGUGAAGUGAGGGGGAGGAGGAGGAGCUGAUCUCAAGUUUUCAAGCUGAGACC